UUGGCUUUUCCGAGAGGAUGGGUAAUCUUGUUAAACUGCGUCGUGCUGGGGAUAGAGCUUUGCAAUUUUUGCUCUUGAACGAGGAAUUCCUAGUAAGCGCAAGUCAUCAGCUUGCGUUGAUUACGUCCCUGCCCUUUGUACACACCGCCCGUCGUUACUACCGAUUGAAUGGCUUAGUGAGGUCCUAGGAGAGUUUGCGCACGAGGGCAACCUCUAGCGCGGAUUCAAAUUAGAUCAAACUUGGUCAUUUAGAGGAAGUACAAGUCGUAACAAGGUUUCCGUAGGUGAACCUGCGGAAGGAUCAUU
This 306-nucleotide ribosomal RNA is filed under the name Starmerella vitae. RNAcentral describes it as "SSU rRNA". It matches the Rfam family "Eukaryotic small subunit ribosomal RNA", at positions 1524 to 1830 of the family's 1831-position model. The record is from RNAcentral. Lineage: Eukaryota; Fungi; Ascomycota; Dipodascomycetes; Dipodascales; Trichomonascaceae.